ACGCUAGCGACGUGCCUAAGGUAUGCAAGUCGAAUGCCGAUUUAUCGGCAUGGCAGACGGCUGAGUAACACAUGGGAAUCUACCUCAAACUCGAGAAUAGCCCAUCGAAAGGUGGUGUAAUACUCGAUAGUUCCGUUUACGGUAAAGCUCCGGCGGUUUGAGAUGAGCCCAUGUCCUAUCAGGUUGUUGGUGGGGUAAUUGCCUACCAAGCCUAUGACGGGUAGCUGGUUUGAGAGGAUGAUCAGCCAGACUGGGACUGCGAUACGGCCCAGACUCCUACGGGAGGCAGCAACUAGGAAUCAUGCGCAAUGGACGAAAGUCUGACGCUGCGACGUCGCGUGAGGGAUGAAGGUCUUAGGAUCGUAAACCUCUUUUAUCUGGGAACAAGUUCUGAGUGUACCAGAUGAAUAAGUGCCUGCCAACCACGUGCCAGAAGCAUCGGUAAUGCGUGGGGCACAAGCGUUAUCCGGAUUUACUGGGCGUAAAGAGAUGCGUAGGCGCCUUUUUAAGUCACUUGUAAAAUCUCCCCGCUCAACGGGGAAACUGCAAGUGAUACUGAAUUGGUUGAGUCAAGUAGAGGAGAGGGGAAUUCCUGGUGGAGCGGUUAAAUGCGUUGAUAUCAGGAGGAAUACCAAGUGCGAAGGCACCUCUCUGGACUUGUACUGACGCUAAGGCUCGAAAGUGUGGGGAGCAAAACGGAUUAGAUACCCGUGUAGUCCACACUGUAAACGAUCCCUGCUAGAUGUUUGC
Molecule: ribosomal RNA, 750 nt
Filed under: uncultured organism
Description: bacterial SSU rRNA
Rfam family: Bacterial small subunit ribosomal RNA
Source: RNAcentral